Molecule: ribosomal RNA, 390 nt
Filed under: uncultured bacterium
Lineage: Bacteria
Description: bacterial SSU rRNA
Rfam family: Bacterial small subunit ribosomal RNA
Source: RNAcentral
CCUAACACAUGCAAGUCGAACGGUAACAGGAAGCAGCUUGCUGCUUCGCUGACGAGUGGCGGACGGGUGAGUAAUGUCUGGGAAGCUGCCUGAUGGAGGGGGAUAACUACUGGAAACGGUAGCUAAUACCGCAUAACGUCGCAAGACCAAAGAGGGGGACCUUCGGGCCUCUUGCCAUCGGAUGUGCCCAGAUGGGAUUAGCUUGUUGGUGGGGUAACGGCUCACCAAGGCGACGAUCCCUAGCUGGUCUGAGAGGAUGACCAGCCACACUGGAACUGAGACACGGUCCAGACUCCUACGGGAGGCAGCAGUGGGGAAUAUUGCACAAUGGGCGCAAGCCUGAUGCAGCCAUGCCGCGUGUAUGAAGAAGGCCUUCGGGUUGUAAAUACU